GGUGAGCGAGCGUUGCGCCUUUUCAUUUUCUAAGAGUAUAGAUUACCCAUUAAUUUGUCUCUGCCUGCAAAUCGUCCUCCUGAAAGUGGGCAGAUUAUUGGGCAAUCAGACUUCACUAGAUGCAGAACUUCAUCUGGAGGGAGAGGAGAGAAAGAGUUAAAGGAUGAGGAGAGGAAAGCGGCAGAAUGAAGAGAUGCUUGAUCAGGUGCUGUGGCUAGUUCUUCCUGUCACUUGUCCUCGACAGGCAGCCAGUCUCAGUCAGGGGUUCAAUAACAUGGGACUGGUUAAGUUGGAAGCCCUCUCACCACGUCAAGGUACAGGCCGAGAGAAGGAUUUUGUUUUUAAUUAAGGCCUUUAACCACCUACUCUAUAUUUGUAGUGCUUGACCUGAUGGGGCUUGGAUAGGUGUAGCAAUAUGGUGCUGACUCAAACCGGCUGUGUAAUGGACUCCGGGACACUUCUGCUAUAUUACAUACACAAAUCUAGAACCUCCAGAUAUGCAAACACUAACUAGAAACCAAUGUCAAAUUCCAUACCAACCCUUGCCUAAAAUUUGAUUUGGAAUUGGACACAAAAGAUUAAUGGCUAGGGAGAAGGGGUUAAGGACCAGUAAGUCUGUAACUGGGCAACUGAACAGUCAAUUGAAAAUGUUACUUGCAAUGAAUACAUUUAAUAUGCAAAUGUAUUAAUUUACAGCCAAUUCAAGCAAGUUUCAAAUAUUUGCCAGCAAACAAAUGGAAAAAUAUACAAAUGUUUACAUGCUUGUAAACAUGACUUGGAAUACAAGACAAAUACAUAUGGUAUAUACUUACCAACUUCACAGCCAAUGUCUGCAAAAAAACAUCUUUGUAAUAUUGUUUUAAAUUUGUAUAACAGGUUAUUAAGGUUAUUUACAAUAACAUAUAAUAUACAACAAGAUGCAAUGUAGUAAAAUAGCUACCGUCUUGAGGUGGGGAGCCGGCCAAGCAGUGAAAACAAGGGUGGGGAAAACAUCGGACGAAACAGAUGACGGACGAUAGACACGAUGAACAGACAAAUUCAUGCACAUUGACAACAUGAGACAAACAAGACACAUGAAAAUGCUUGCCGCAUCUCCUGCACCGGGCCACCUUCUUACCUUUUCUCACGUAUUUCCGCCAGAAGCAGUGGACGCUGAACUCUGGGUAGAGUGUGGACACCUUCGAAGGCCUGGACCCAGGAUGAGGACUGGAAUCGGGACUGAGAAAUGGUGCCAGGUGCCCAGCAUGAAAACAAGUAAAAAUAUGUUUUCUCAUGGAUUUCUGAUGGUAUCGUGUCAUGGAGGGUUCCUCAUCUCUGCAGAGAAGUUCACGACCUAGGUCACUCAAGAUGACCUCAGGUAACAACACCCUCUUUGAAGAAGUAGGUGAAGAUCUCCCACACACGGAUUGCCUCUCUUGCUGCGUUGUUGGACCCCAUCCUUUUAACAUCCUGCAAAGCAGCAGACUUCUCCUCUGACACACAGUGGCAAGCUACAGAUCCCCUCCUGGUCCUCGUGUCCAUCCUCAUGAAGUUAUGCAGGACACAGGUAGCCUUCACACGCCUGAAUUCCUCCAGGAGGCAGUCCCAGAUGGCCUUGGUCACCCAACCUUGCAGUGCCAUACACGGUAACUGUAAGCAGGAAUCUCCAGUUACAAGGUAUCUGUAGGAAGAUGGAAUAUAAUUUAACUAUUAAACUUUUACAUCCCCAGGUCAUUGUGGACUACUAAAGUAUAAUAUCCCUUAUACCAAAUCAUGAUAACAUUGGAUUGAUAGAUGCAUGUGCACACAUAGGAUCAUAUCAAGGAUAGCAUCACAAAUUACUACAUAAAUACCACUUGAAGCUUGAUGAUGAGUUUACCAUUUGAAUCAGCUGUGCAGUGCUAAGGCAAAAACAAAAAUGUGCACCCCUUUGAGUCCCCAGGACUGAGAACCACUGCUCUUUUGGGGACAUCUUCAUCUGCAGACAGGCUUUCACAGCUCUCUGUAUCUGAGGACAGAAAACCUCACAAGAAAUAUACUUCAUUAUACUCAAAUUAGAACACACUGAAUAUUAUGUUACUAUUAUCUCCAUCCUCACUUCUAGGGACUGGAACUACACAAAAGUACCUGCACUAUCCAGAAUAGCCUACUUUCUCACUUUGACAGUUGGGGCUGCUAUCCUUUCACCCAUUCGCCAUGGAGGCUGUUAGCUAGCUAGCUACAAAUGCAUUUACAGUUUUUUUACAGUGAUAAAUAGAUCAAGAUGGCUAGCUAAUAUGAAGUUGGGUAGCUGGUGAUAUUUAAUUCACUUAGCUAGCUAUCUAUACAGUAUGUACAGUAUUCUUCCUAGGUUUUGGCCUUUCUAGGGAGUUUUUCCUAGCCACCGUGCUUCUACACCUGCAUUGCUUGCUGUUUGGGGUUUUAGGCUGGGUUUCUGUACAGCACUUUGAGAUAUCAGCUGAUGUAAGAAGGGCUAUAUAAAUAAAUUUGAUAUGUAAAGUUGGCUAGAUAGCUAACUACUGUUAGCUACAUUAGCAGACUAUUUGAGUUAGCCUGCACCGUAGCUAGUUAGCUAAUAAAACAGUGGUUUUUUUUUUUACAUUUUAGAAAUGUAUUUACUUAUUUGAAUAAGUUCUCCCAGCCAUGUGGACGAUUGGAAACGGGGCAGCAAAGUUUGUCACCAGAGAGUUUUAGAGCAUAUUACUAUGUAACUAUUUACCCUUUUCAUAACCAGACCUCCAUACAAAUGUGCCUUGCUCAAUUCUUGACGCACAACUGAAGGUGUUGCUAUAUGCUCCCAUAUGAUGCCAGCACGCCCACAAGCGAACCACUCUGGCCGGACUAAGCGGCACGCGGCAAUUUACCGCUUGCUACUGAGCUAGCGCUUCUGAGGUGAAAUAGAACUGCCGGCGUCCGCCUUCCUUUGCAACCUCUACGAGGUAGCCGAGCAACCAGCAUAGCAACGAACGCGUUGGUUCAUUACGUAAUCCGGUCAUAAUGUUGCAAGUUCUAGCAACAACCCUAGCAACAGAAGUUAGAACUCAUGUAAUCCCAUUGUGAUGUAGAGUGGGACAUUAUUUGGCAUGACAGGCCCCCAAAAGGCUAGGACCGGCCCUGCAUUCACAAGUACACCUUGUCCCAUAUAUUAUCAGCACAUUUAUAGUAGAGGUCGACCGAUUAAUCGGAAUGGCCGAUUAAUUAGGGCCGAUUUCAAUUUUUCAUAACAAUCGGAAAUCGGUAAUUUUGGACGCCGAUUUGGCCGAUUUUUUGUUUGUUUUUUUAUUAUUAUUUUUUUAUAUAUAUAUAUUUUUUUUAGACCUUUAUUUAACUAGGCAAGUCAGUUAUGAACACAUUCUCAUUUUCAAUGACGGCCUAGGAACGGUGGGUUAACUGCCUUGUUCAGGGGCAGAAUGACAGAUUUUGACCUUGUCAGCUCAAGGAUUCAAUCUUGCAACCUUACGGUUAACUAGUCCAACGCUCUAAUCACCUGCUUUACAUUGCACUCCACGAGGUUACGCGAAUGCAGUAAGAAGCUAAGGUAAGUUGCUAGCUAACAUUAAACGUAUCUUAUAAAAACAAUGAAUCAAUCAUAAUCACUAGUUAACUACACAUGGUUGAUGAUAUUACUAGUUUAUCUAGCCUGUCCUGCGUUGCAUAUAAUCGCUUAGGUACACGUUGCUCCAACCAUAAACAUCAAUGCCUUUCUUAAAAUCAAUACACAAGUAUAUAUUUUUAAACCUGCAUAUUUAGUUAAUAUUGCCUGCUAACAUGAAUUUCUUUUAACUAGGGAAAAUGUGUCACUUCUCUUGCAAACAGAGUCAGGGAAUAUGCAGCAGUUUGGGCCGCCUGGCUCAUUGCGAACUGUGAAGACUAUUUCUUCCUAACAAAGACAGCAAUGUAACAGGAAUAACGUUUUGUUUUUGAGAUGAUAGUUGCCGGAUUCGACCAUAUUAAUGACCUAAGGCUCGUGUUUCUGUGUGUUAUUAUGUUAUAAUUAAGUCUAUGAUUUGAUAGAGCAGUCUGACUGAGCGAUGGUAGGCACCAGCAGGCUCGUAAGCAUUCAUUCAAAAUAGCACUUUUGUGCAUUUUGCCAGCAGCCCUUCGCAAUGCAUUGCGCUGUUUAUGACUUCAAGCCUGUCAACUCCCAAGAUUAGGCUGGAGUAACUGAUGUGAAAUGGCUAGCUAGUUAGCCGGGUGCGCGCUAAUAGCGUUUCAAACGUCACUCGCUCUGAAACUUGGAGUAGUUUUUUCCCUUCCACUACAUGGGUAACCCUGCUUCAAGGGUGGCUGUUGUCGAUGUGUUCCUGGUUCGAGCCCAGGUAGGAGCGAGGAGAGGGACAGAAGCUAUACUGUUACACUGGCAAUACUAAAGUGCCAAUAAGAACAUCCAAUAGUCAAAAGUAUAUGAAAUACAAAUCGUAUAGAGAGAAAUAGUCCUAUAAUUCCUAUAAUAACUACAACCUAAAACAUCUUACCUGGGAAUAUUGAAGACUCAUGUUAAAAGGAACCACCAGCUUUCAUAUGUUCUGAGCAAGGAACUUGAUUUUAUUGAUGUAUUAUAUUAAGUUAAAAUAAGUUUUCAUUCAGUAUUGUUGUAAUUGUCAUUAUUACAAAUAAAUAAAUAAUCGGCUGAUUAAUCGAUAGCGGCUUUUUUUGGUCCUCCAAUAAUCGGUAUCGGUAUCGGCGUUGAAAAAUCCUAAUCGGUCGACCUCUAAUUUAUAGGCAUUAAAACCAGUGCUACAAUAAGAAGUCACAGACAUUCAGCCUAUUUCGAAGAGAAAAUGAAUCUACAGUAGUAGUAGGACUAGUUUGCUUUGAAAUCCGUAAUUCUGAAAGCGUUCAUGCAAUGAAGAAGGAACGCCAAAGUAAAAGCCAAUGCAGACAUACCCUACAUAGUUCAACUCAUCUCAGGCUCAACCUUUGAUCAGUGACAAAUGUUAAAAUGAUUGUUGUUAGACACCAAGAUCAGGGGAGAGCGCGAACGCAGUCCCCCACUACCAUAAAUUAUGCAAUCGAGAUUUCCACAUUUGGGAAAUUCGCAGGGGUCAGCACAGCCGGAGUGCAAUGGCUGAGCCUCACCCUGGGUGAACCGCCUUCUUGAUCACGGUAUCUCCCUUGCCAGGUAAGUAUGAGUUGUACACAUCGGUGGAGGGGUAGUCAUUCUAGGGCAAAUGUUUUUGACUGACGGUUACCACUUUGGCCCCAGAUAAUAAGGCAUCAUAUCGACCAGGGUUUAAUCACGUUCAUGAAUACAGUUGUGGAGAGAGCGGCGGAGAAGCGAUUAAUUUUAGUUUUACUUGGUUAUAUCACUGUCCGACUAUUUUCCCAUCAUGCAACACGGUAGAAAUUAAAUUUGCGUUUACAUUUUAAUAUCUACACAUGUGUCUGAUAUCACAAAAGUAUGCGAUAUACCAAAAUGCUGAAAUCACGUUCGUGCACAUAAAGCCAAACGAAUGACACCAACUAUUUCUGGUGUUUCGUAGCAUUCCAGGAAUUGUAGGUAUUUCGUCGUUUCUUGAAGCUUGUGUUCUGCGCUCGGUAAAACAUGUUGCAAUUACACCAUUGACCACUGGGUGGCAUAAAACCCUCAGAUAUUGGGUAGAGACAGUAGUCUACCAAUUCAUCCACAAAACAGAGUAUAGGCUAGCUGGGCUACAGUAAUAGUAAGUGGGAUAAAUGUUUUUCUUAGCGGUAGGGUGUGCACCGUUCCAGAAGGUCCUGGAUUGGUGAAAAUAAGUGCAGAGCCACCAGGGACCUGUGGAAGGAAGCAUCUCCUGAUCUCCCUGUGUCUGCCAGCGGAGAGGAUCUCACUCCCCAGCUCGUGCUGUAUGGGGUGGUCCGAAUGCCUAUUCCAUCGAAGGCCUUCACCAAGCUCUGGCCCACCCUCACGUGUCUGAAUGAUGCACUGUGGUCCUCCCGCAACCUGCUGGUAGCGAAACGAGUAGAGGCCACCCCCCAGGCAGUGGCAAUGGUAGCCACGGAAGCCCUGGGGAGGUACAAAAUAAAGGGGGCCUCGACCCCAGGCGAAAGGACCCCCACAACACCCAAGGUCCCGGCGGCCACGGCCUGACAGCGCUGUGGCGCCUAGGUGAGGGAUCUCCUCUGGGCCCCGAAGGACAGGAUGGUAAUUGAUUCGGAAGAGUAGGAGAGUUUGAUAAGGACUCAGCCCGUUCCUGUACAAAGGACCGAAGACAGCUUUUUAACGAAGUGACUUUUGAACAUGUUUUCAUGUCUUAAAAAUGUUUUACUUUUGUUAAAUCAUUUGUACACAUUUUAAAUGGCGUUUACAGAUUGGAUGUUUAUAAGAAAAUGUGCUUUUAUUCAAGGUUGUGUUAUUGGUUUUAAAUGAACAACAUGUACUUUAACUAAUUUAAAUGUAACGUUCAAUGCCGUUUUUAUGUGUAUAAAUGAUGCAAAAUAUAUAUGGGCUGUUUUUAAAGGAAAUGUAUAAAUAAAAACUUUUCCAACAGAAAAA
Molecule: long non-coding RNA, 6454 nt
Filed under: Salmo salar (Atlantic salmon)
Lineage: Eukaryota; Metazoa; Chordata; Actinopteri; Salmoniformes; Salmonidae
Description: lncRNA (ENSSSAG00000107581.1)
Source: RNAcentral